Molecule: ribosomal RNA, 497 nt
Filed under: uncultured bacterium
Lineage: Bacteria
Description: partial 16S ribosomal RNA
Rfam family: Bacterial small subunit ribosomal RNA
Source: RNAcentral
GAUGAACGCUGGCGGCGUGCCUAAUACAUGCAAGUCGAGCGAACAGACGAGGAGCUUGCUCCUCUGACGUUAGCGGCGGACGGGUGAGUAACACGUGGAUAACCUACCUAUAAGACUGGGAUAACUUCGGGAAACCGGAGCUAAUACCGGAUAAUAUAUUGAACCGCAUGGUUCAAUAGUGAAAGACGGCUUUGCUGUCACUUAUAGAUGGAUCCGCGCCGGAUUAGCUAGUUGGUAAGGUCACGGCCUACCAAGGCAACGAUGCGUAGCCGAGCUGAGAGGGUGAUCGGCCACACUGGAACUGAGACACGGUCCAGACUCCUACGGGAGGCAGCAGUAGGGAAUCUUCCGCAAUGGGCGAAAGCUUGACGGAGCAACGCCGCGUGAGUGAUGAAGGCCUUCGGAUCGUAAAGCUCUGUUAUUAGGGAAGAACAAAUGUGUAAGUAACUAUGGCCGUCUUGACGGUACCUAAUCAGAAAGCCACGGCUAACUACGUG